AUUUUCCAGAGCCUGUUGGCCCGUGUCCUGGCCGCACAGCACACUUUGUCACUUCCAUCUGCUGUACCUCUUUCCCCAAUUUGUGGUUCCAUACGUAUUUCUGUUCCUUCCCUUCAGUUUUUACCUCAACUUACUAACUUAUCAAUGAUUUAAUGAUAUUUAGUUGAAAUUCAAAACGUAUUGAAGAGUUUCCUCUCUCCUCCAAAAUCCUACGGCAAGCAGUGCUUGCCUUACUUAUUUGGAACGUACUUACGCCACUGGGGACGCCAGAUAAAACUUGCAGGGAGAACAAGCAAAGAUAUUAUUACAAUAACGAGUAAUAAGCAUCACUGUAAGGAAGAUGAUGGUAAAGAAUUGAAGGAUCUUACUUCGGAGACGGAGUGAAAUCGAUGUCAUCUUCACUGAACAUGGCUUUAUGGAUGUAGGAAGAUGAGAGGGAUGUACCCCUAAGGUAGUUGACACAUGCAAACAGGAAAACUCGGCAUUUUUACAAAAUCCAAGGGAAUGUGCUAAGUAACUUCAAAGAGUUAGCAAGAGACAGAGACUGGAUGGAAGUUAUAACGUUCUGUGGGUUACUUAAUUAAUUUUUCCACUUAUUACAAACGCGAAAAAUGUUGAGAUGAAUAAAUGCAUGCCCACUAUUCUUGAGGAAACCAACACUACAAUUCAAAUUCAAUUAUCAUCAAUCCUUGGUAAAUAAAAUUACUUAAACAAAAUGAACUAAGCAUGAGUGAGUGGACGUAGAGAGAGAAAUGUGAUGAUAACAGCUAUCAGCUGAUGCUGAGAUGCUCGCUCGUUGUGUUUACAUGAUUAUGACGUCAUUUGCGUCAUCAAUUAUGAAAAAUCGAAAAAUCUCGAAAUUUCGGCCUGUGUUUAUUUUCUGUUUUUUGUGGAAGAUAACCUCGAGGCCGGCGGCUGUUUCGGUGAUUUUUCUAUGUUUUAUUUUACCUAAACUUCAGUAUUUUGGCUCUCAUGAUUCCUGUAAAAAUGGCAGUUCGAUGUAGGAUCACAAGUGGUAAAUCAUUUUACGUUAAUUGCUUACUGUCAUCUUCACGAAGCAGUCACAUUUUGGACACUCCGAAGUUCUACCAUCAGAGAAGUGAUGAUCAUGUGUGCAACGUGAAGAAUUAUGCAAAUCAAGUUGCUGCCAUUCCGUUUGCUGAAAGAUUUGAGCAAUUCUUGCAACCAUUUGUCCGAUUUUCUCCAUGUUGCACUAGCAAGACACUGCAUGAUUGGAGAUCAGAAAUAAUUUCAAAGAGCUUAUCUAGUCAUGCUUGGAGGAAUCCUGGAAUUCCUUUUCUAGCUUCAUCUCCAAUAGAAAACUCAACUUUACUGCUAGCAGAUGUUGGAAGUAUUCAUGGAGACAAAAAGACAGGUGCUUCUGCUGGGUCCUCCUCAGCAGGAGAUAAACAAAGCGGCCGUCCCUCAGAGGAGCAACUUGAUAAAGUGUAUAAAUAUCUAUCUGAAAAUCUGCCAAAAGUGAUGGUCCAAUCUGUGAAUUAUAAAUUAUUUGACGGCAAUCUUGUUAUUGAAGAUCACUUGAAAACUUACAAAAGAACAGUGUGA
Molecule: long non-coding RNA, 1566 nt
Filed under: Bemisia tabaci
Lineage: Eukaryota; Metazoa; Arthropoda; Insecta; Hemiptera; Aleyrodidae
Description: lncRNA ENSSSA1NGG010167
Source: RNAcentral